This 74-nucleotide transfer RNA is filed under the name [Phormidium ambiguum] IAM M-71. RNAcentral's name for it is "Phormidium ambiguum IAM M-71 tRNA-Ala". It matches the Rfam family "tRNA". Rfam says of the family: Transfer RNA (tRNA) molecules are approximately 80 nucleotides in length. Lineage: Bacteria; Bacillati; Cyanobacteriota; Cyanophyceae; Aerosakkonematales; Aerosakkonemataceae. The record is from RNAcentral.
GGGUCUGUAGCUUAAAUGGUAAAGUUUCCCGAUCGCACCGGGGAGGAUGUCAGUUCGAUUCUGACCAGUAUCCA